GAUGAACGCUGGCGGCGUGCCUAAUACAUGCAAGUCGAGCGAAUGGAUUAAGAGCUUGCUCUUAUGAAGUUAGCGGCGGACGGGUGAGUAACACGUGGGUAACCUGCCCAUAAGACUGGGAUAACUCCGGGAAACAGGCGCGAAUAGCGGAUAACAUUUUGAACAGCAUGGCUCGACAUUGCAAGGCGGCUUCGGUUGUCAAUUCUGUAUUGAACCGCGGCGCAUUAGCUAGUUGGUGAGGUAACGGCGCACCAAGGCAACGAUGCGUAGCCGACCUGAGAGGGUGAUCGGCCACACUGGGACUGAGACACGGCCCAGACUCCUACGGGAGGCAGCAGUAGGGAAUCUUCCGCAAUGGACGAAAGUCUGACGGAGCAACGCCGCGUGAGUGAUGAAGGCUUUCGGGUCGUAAAACUCUGUUGUUAGGGAAGAACAAGUGCUAGUUGAAUAAGCUGGCACCUUGACGGUACCUAACCAGAAAGCCACGGCUAACUACGUGCCAGCAGCCGCUGUAA
Molecule: ribosomal RNA, 515 nt
Filed under: uncultured bacterium
Lineage: Bacteria
Description: partial 16S ribosomal RNA
Rfam family: Bacterial small subunit ribosomal RNA
Source: RNAcentral